Hemicordylus capensis (graceful crag lizard) is the source of this 1669-nucleotide long non-coding RNA. RefSeq lists it as uncharacterized. NCBI's taxonomy places the organism in Eukaryota, Metazoa, Chordata, Lepidosauria, Squamata, Cordylidae. The transcript has 3 exons. The record is from RefSeq and is a predicted model, not a curated record.
AAAUAGGUGGCAGCACCUUGGAUAAGUUGGCUGUCAGGGUGGGUGGCUGUUGUUCAUAGGUGACCUGCAGGGAUGAAGAUGAAGAGAGGGCACAGACUGGUCAUCCCAAAUAUUCAACCCAUGUUGCACCAUGUUCUGUUCCAUCUAGACCCAAAAUCAAAUGCCAAACUCCAAAAUCAACAGCUAUCUGAGGGCCUUCCAUCCCUUCCGAUACUCAGGAGGAAAAACCAAAAGGAGGCAAGCUCAGUUCCAGGACCCCACCCAGGACCUUCUGUCCCCUCCAACACUAUAGGAAAAGAACCAAAGGAGAAAAUGUAAGUUUUCACAGAGAAGUAAGAAACAUAAGUUUUGGGCGGUAUAAAAAUAUGUCAAAUAAAUAAAAAUAAAUAAAAUAAAAACUCACUGUGAGGGCCUUCCAUCCCCUCCAUCAUUCCUGGAGAAGAACCAAAGGAGGCAACCUCAGUGCCAGGACCCUGACCAGGGCCUUUCUUCCCCUCCAAUACUCUGAAAGAAUAACCAGAUGAGAAAACCUCAUUUCUAGGACCCAACUCAGGACCUUCUGUCGCCUCUGACACCAUGGGAGAAGAAACAAGUGAGGCAACCUUACUGCCAGAACCACACUCAGGACCUUCCAUCCCUUCUGACACUCUGGGAGAAAAACCAAAGGAGGUAACCUCACUGCCAGAAUUCCACCAAGGGCCUUCUGUCCCCUCUGACACUCCAGGAAAAGAAAUAAAGGAGACAACCUCACUGUCAGAACCCUACUCAGGGCCUUGAGUCCCCUCCAGCUCUCAUGGAGAAGAACCAAAGGAGCCAACCUCAAUGCCAGGACUCAGCCCAGGGCCUUUCAUCCCCUCUGACGCUCCUGAAUAAGAACCAAAGGAGACAAUCUCAGUGCCAGGACCACACUCAGGACUUCUGCCCUCUAUGACAAACAGGGAGAAGAACCAAAGGAGGCAAUCUCACCACCAGGACCCCACUCAGGAUCUUCCAUCCACUCCAACAGUCCAGGAGAAGAGCCUAAGGAGGCAGCCUCAGUGCCAGGACUCCACUCAGGAUCUUCCAUCCCCUCUGACACGCCGGGAGAAGAAACCAAGGAGGAAACCUCACUGCCCACACCUUGCCCAGGGCCUUCCGUACCCUCCAACACUCUGGGAGAAGAACCAGUGGAGGCAACCUCACUGCCUGUGCCUUCCAUUCCCUCAUAGAAUCUGGGAGGAGAACCUCAUUCCCCCGACCCUUCCAGGGCCCUCCAACGCUCCAGGAGAUGAACCAAGGAGUCAGCUUCACUGCCAGAACCGCACUCAGGACCUCCCGUCUGCUCCAGCAUUCCACAAAAAGAACCAAAGGAGGCAACCUCAGUGCCAUGAUUCUGCCCAGGCCCUUCUGUCCACUCAGACACUCUUGGAGAAGAGUGGAAAGAGGAAAGGAGGAAAUCUCAUUGCCAGGACCCUGCCCAGGGCCUUCCAUCCCCUCCAACACUCUAGGAGAAGAGCCAAAGGAGGCAAUCUUACUGCCAGGACCCAACUCAGGACCUUCUGUCCCCUAUGACACUUGGGGAGAAGAACCAAAGGAGGAAACCUGUGAGCUAAAAUGACCUGAAAUGUGUUCAGCAUCAUUCUGAUUUUAGUGUGCAACUAAUAAAGAAGCAACUUUCCUCUGAUUAUUA